AACGCAUAUGGCACCCGAGACCUCGGUCGAGGGUAUGUCUGCCUCAGAGUCGGCGUAAAAACACUCCCCUGCGGUACUUUGUGCCGCGGGGGGAACUGACCUCUCCCGCGCCGCUGGCGCGGGUGGGUCGAAGGAUAGAGACGGGCGCGCCCGGUCGGAACAGUUUCCGGCUGGACCGAGAUUUUGCUGGAGAAGAAGUAACAUUCUUUUAUCUUUCGGUCUCGGUACCCCGGAAGCGACGCCGCGGACGCCCGCAGUGCAGGAUUACGUGGAUCCGUUUACUUUUGGAUCCCUUUGCAUCCGACCUGAGUUCAGGCAAGAUCACCCGCUGAACUUAA
This 338-nucleotide unclassified non-coding RNA is filed under the name uncultured fungus. RNAcentral's name for it is "partial contains 5.8S ribosomal RNA, internal transcribed spacer 2, and large subunit ribosomal RNA". The record is from RNAcentral. Lineage: Eukaryota; Fungi.